Camellia sinensis is the source of this 1699-nucleotide non-coding RNA. The record is from RefSeq and is a predicted model, not a curated record. Lineage: Eukaryota; Viridiplantae; Streptophyta; Magnoliopsida; Ericales; Theaceae.
CGUCUGACUGUUGAUUUUUCGCAACUCAUACAUUGACAGCCGUUGGAUCGUUCUGGACAAUUAAUAAAUCACCCCCCCCCCUCUCUCUCUGCACACAUUUUCAUUUUCCUGUACAGCUUCUCUCUCACCGAGAAAUUUCGUUAGUCACCGAGAAUUCGUUCGACGAUCUGCGUUUUGAUUAUGGAUUCGAGUGUUUUCGUUGAGCUAUCCGCUUCCGAUCUUCGAUUCCGAGAUGUGGUUUAAGACUCAUCCUUUCUUCGGUCAUGGGUGAAUUGUCUGGAAAUCGAAAGAUCCAUCGAGGCUCUUGAUGUUUGUUCUGAACCAUUAGUGCUCGGGCUUUGUACGUCUGAUCUAAAACGCUUGGUUAGAUCGGUGCAAUCAAUUCAGAUCUCGUGAUUCUUUAUGGAUUCAGAUCGGAUUUUGAUAUGAAGCUGUGAAGGAUUGCUAAAGUGUUUCUUUAUGCUUUUUUUGAUGGGCUUUCUUUUGUCAUCUUCUUGGUAUAAUAAAGAAGACAGUUUGUGUGUGUGUGUUUUCGGUGUAUACCAGAGGGGUAUAGCCUAGGCUAACAAAAAAAAAUGUGAGAUGUGGAAUGUUCUACUGGUUGUCAAUCGACCUUUGCCAUGUCAGGUGCGCUUGCUUGGCAGGUCAAAAAAACCCUAAUAAAAAGUUUGUUUUUUGUGUUUGAGGGGGAGAUGGUACGGGGUUUUGCCCGGCUCUCCCCUUAUUGUGUGUUGCGUCUUUUUUUUUCCCUUGAUUUUGUGCUCCCCAAUUCUCUCUCCAAUCCAAUCAGUUGUUCAUCGUGUCUUUAUUUGUCUCUCGAAUGGAUGAUUUUACAUCGAUUCGAACAAAUAGGGACAUCAACACGCCAACUGUUUGUAUUCAUCAGGCAAGCAAACGCAAGGAUGGGAUUAGCACAAGAGUGUUGCAGCAGAGUAAAGAUUCUUGAUUCCUGUGUGUGGCGGCUGGAGAGGAUGAAUUUUAGCGGCUUGAUCAUUUGAAGGAAUAAAUUCAGGCAUUGCAAUAAAGAAUUUUUUUUUGUCAUGUUGGUGCAGAGGAGACCGUACCUUCUUUUGUGGUGAACUCAAUUUUUUGUGCUAUUUCUUUAAUGCUGCAUAGUUUUUCUAGCUAAUGUGACAGAUUUUGGAUUGCAGUGGUUGUGACUUUGGGGUUGCGCAUGUCUAAUUCAAGUCUUGAUUCUUCAUGUGUAGAUUUUGUGGUGUUAACUUCAUUAUUUUUUUGGCAGAUGUUGGAGUCCGUUUUACUAGUAUUUCUUGAGGGGUGCGGCCACAAAUGCAUUGUAGGAAGUGUGCAGUUCAGCAUUGUGUAUCUGCUUGUGUUUGCCAUUUGUUGUAUUUACUUCAUAUGUUGUGCUGAUCCCCAGGAGGCUUGAGUUGGAAGUGUAAUUGGGUCGUCUCACGUGUGAGAUAGAUUUCUAGAGUUUGCUUCUGCACGCCAUGUUUGCUAAAGUGUUGCAAUACCACAGAAAGGUAUUUCUUUAUUCAAUAAGAAUUAGGAAUCUGUCUCGUAUUUGUAACUUGUUUUGGAAAAAAAUUUGCGUAGGUAUUUGUGAAGAGAAAAAGGGGUAGGUAAAGGUGAUAGUAAAAAAUUUUAGGUUCUACUUAAUUGGUUUUCUUUUUUUCUUUGGUAACUUCUGGUAGAAUUUUUUAAAUAUUAUGGGAGAUUAAAGUUGUAUUUUGAA